RNAcentral lists this ribosomal RNA (117 nucleotides) under Cohnella endophytica. Lineage: Bacteria; Bacillati; Bacillota; Bacilli; Caryophanales; Paenibacillaceae. The record is from RNAcentral.
UCUGGUAGCAAUUGCGGAGGGGUUCCACGCGUACCCAUCCCGAACACGACCGUUAAGACCUCCAGCGCCGAUGGUACUUGGACCGCAGGGUCCUGGGAGAGUAGGACGUUGCCAGGC